GUCAAGCUAACAAGACAUACAGAACAUUUCAACGUGAUUAACAUUCUGCGUACAACACAAAGCAAAUUUAAUUCCAUCCAUUUGCUACAUUUAUUCGAACCGAUUUUGUGUUUUUCUGCUGACCGUGCAACACACACAAAGCAAGUGAGUAUUGUUAUUGUUUCGUAAGUGCUUCCAUGCGGUUCGCAAAUACACUGUUGGUGGGUCUUAUUGCAUAUGCGUGUGUGGGUAAAAUACAUAGUUUAAGAUGUA
This is a long non-coding RNA of Bactrocera neohumeralis, 252 nucleotides long. RefSeq lists it as uncharacterized. The record is from RefSeq and is a predicted model, not a curated record. NCBI's taxonomy places the organism in Eukaryota, Metazoa, Arthropoda, Insecta, Diptera, Tephritidae. The transcript is spliced from 3 exons.